Molecule: ribosomal RNA, 493 nt
Filed under: uncultured fungus
Lineage: Eukaryota; Fungi
Description: eukaryotic LSU rRNA
Rfam family: 5.8S ribosomal RNA (bases 170-317)
Source: RNAcentral
UCCGUAGGUGAACCUGCGGAAGGAUCAUUACAAAUCUCUUGUCUAUUCGGGAGGCUUUACCUACCUUGUUGUUGGUUAGCUAACCGAUAGGACACAUAUGCACAAGGCCGCAAGGUCUUGAUGUUUACGCUUGUACGUUUGACAAAUUUAUUUGUACCAAAACUUUGACAACUUUUAACAAUGGAUCUCUUGGCUCUUGCAACGAUGAAGAACGCAGUAAAGUGCGAUAUGUAGUGCGAUUUGCAUGAAUCUGUGAGUCAUCUAAUCUUUGAACGCAACUUGCGCCUCUUUUUUGAGGCAUGUCUGUUUGAGAGCCGCAUACAUCAAUGCAGCAAUGCGAUCUGACCAUUGUCCCUGGACUCGGUCUAAACGUAGCCAGAUUAAUGGCCUGUGUAAGCUAGCCUGAGUGCUAAGCAUUCUCUAGCUAGUUUAUGCUUGCUUUUAUAUUUAUCUUUUUGGCCUCAAAUCAGGCAAGAUUACCCGCUGAACUUAA